CGAAAGUUAGAGGUUCGAAGGCGAUCAGAUACCGCCCUAGUUCUAACCAUAAACGAUGCCAACCAGCGAUCCGCCUGAGUUCCUCAAAUGACUCGGCGGGCAGCUUCCGGGAAACCAAAGUGUUUGGGUUCCGGGGGAAGUAUGGUUGCAAAGCUGAAACUUAAAGGAAUUGACGGAAGGGCACCACCAGGAGUGGAGCAUGCGGCUCAAUUUGACUCAACACGGGAAAACUUACCCGGCCCGGACACUGGAAGGAUUGACAGAUUAAGAGCUCUUUCUUGAUUCAGUGGGUGGUGGUGCAUGGCCGUUCUUAGUUGGUGGAGCGAUUUGUCUGGUUAAUUCCGAUAACGAACGAGACUCUAGCCUACUAAAUAGGCGUUCCGAUCCUUUAUGUCGGACGUUCUUCUUAGAGGGACAAGCGGCUUUUAGCCGCACGAGACAGAGCAAUAACAGGUCUGUGAUGCCCUUAGAUGUCCGGGGCCGCACGCGCGCUACACUGAAGGAAUCAGCGUGUGCUUUCCCUGUCUGGUAGGACUGGGUAACCCGUUAAACCUCCUUCGUGAUAGGGAUAGGGGCUUGUAAUUGUUCCCCUUGAACGAGGAAUUCCCAGUAAGCACGAGUCAUAAGCUCGUGUUGAUUACGUCCCUGCCCUUUGUACACACCGCCCGUCGCUACUACCGAUUGAAUGAUUUAGUGAGGUCUUCGGACUGGCGCUCGUAGCGACCUUUUGGCCGCGCCGACGUGCCGGAAAGAUGACCAAACUUGAUCAUUUAGAGGAAGUAAAAGU
This 787-nucleotide ribosomal RNA is filed under the name Folkia inermis. Its description in RNAcentral is "SSU rRNA". It matches the Rfam family "Eukaryotic small subunit ribosomal RNA", at positions 984 to 1789 of the family's 1831-position model. The record is from RNAcentral. Lineage: Eukaryota; Metazoa; Arthropoda; Arachnida; Araneae; Dysderidae.